AAAAAGGACCGCGAUUACUGCCCCCGCGAGCUGAAGUGGGGUAAACUCGGAUGCAAAUGCAAGAACUCCUCGAACAGCAGACAUCUUUUGGAGAUUUUGAAGCAAAUGACCGCCUUCUUCCGAAAGACGGGACAAGUUGCGGUGACAUUCAUUGGUACUGUAAUGAAUGGGAUACCAAGGGACUCUGCACCAACGCUUAUUUUGUGAACUCCCUUAAGAUCUACUAUCGUAAGACGUGCCGUCAGUGUAAAUGAGAUCCCUGACAUUGCGUUUAGAUGGAGGGAAAUGGUUAAUAAAAUGACAUCAAUUUAAAAAAUAAAAACAAUCACUCAGUA
Nematostella vectensis (starlet sea anemone) is the source of this 335-nucleotide long non-coding RNA. RefSeq lists it as uncharacterized. The transcript has 2 exons. The record is from RefSeq and is a predicted model, not a curated record. NCBI's taxonomy places the organism in Eukaryota, Metazoa, Cnidaria, Anthozoa, Actiniaria, Edwardsiidae.